GUUCUGUAAGAAUACUUUGCAUUUAGUUUGUUUCUUUCUCCCCCUAGUGGUCAUCUAGGAGUAAUUCAUUGUGUUCAUAUAUAAUUCUUACAUUGCUUUCAUUGGUUGAUUUUAUCACAUGAUGCAGUCAGAUCAGGAAAUACAUCAGUAGUUAUAUUCCAUGCGGUCCACUUGCAGCUCUAGUAAUCUAAUCCUGUCUUCAUUUUGUGUUUGUGCCUUGAGAAAGCAUCGCUUGUAAGUUGUAUUUGAGUUUAUAGUUAAUUACGUUGAUACAUAUGUCAUGUAAGACUUUCUGCAAUGUUCUUGAAUAUUUAUUUGUUUACACAUGAAAACUGCUAUUGUAUAGGCUUUCAGUGAAGAGGUCAUUCAAUAGUUUGUUAGUUUAGCUGUUGAGCUGCACAUACUAUAUUUACUAUAAGUUAUAAGUUUUUACAGUUAUAAGCAUAUUAGCUGAAUGUAAUAUAUGUGUUACAACUUUGUAGCUUAAAGGUGUAUUAUUUCAUGUCUGUUAAUGUAUGACAUGUUUGGAUAGCAUUCAGUGAUUGGUGUUAUCUUUCUGUAUCAUUUCAGUUUUACAAAGAUUCCUUCAUGAGAAUUAAGACAACAGUAAAGAGCCUUGAACUUUACUCCAGCCUCUGACUUUCUCUUGAAGCCUGUUAGCUAUCUGUCGAUUUGUGUACAGUCACACACACUGAGGACAGAAUAGUAAAAAAGCGACUUCACGGCGGGCAAAACAGCAAUAAGAAGAUAAAAAACUGAGCCAGGACACCUCUCAAACAUACUAAGGCCUCUUUAUACUUCCCGUCUAAUACAUCUUGGAGGAUUGUUAAACAUAAUGUCGCAUAUCAGUGAGGCUGGAGUGGGAAAAGCAUCCAUCACUGACGGCAGUGUUAAAGAUCAAGAGACGGCACGUGAAGCAAGAUCACAACAUUCCACCUUAUCAAGCACAUCUAAAGUGUCCUCAGCUAGCAGGGCCGCUGCUAAGGCCCGUGCUAAAGUUGAAGCUGCACGUGCACGUGCCACCUUUGUUCAGAGAGAAGCUGAAUUGAAGAUAAAAGAGGCACAUCUUGCAGCUGAUUUGAAGGUCAAGGAAGCACGUAUAGCCGUUGAGUUAGCAGCUUUGGAGCAAGAGAGGGAGAUUGCAGUAGCUUUGGCUGAAGCUGAAGUUUUUGAGGCAGCAGCAGAGAUCGAAGGUACUCAGGGCAGUCGGAGUCUUCAUGAGUCAGUUCAAGCCGCCAUUCAGCGCACCCGUGAAUAUGUCGAACAACACUCCCAGCUACGUCUCAGUGAUGAAAAACCCCCAGUACUUGAACCAUACACGCCAUCACUGUUGCCGCUCAUCAAACCUGAGGUCCAAUCAGACAGAAAGGAGCAUUUCCCUGGUCCCAACAGUGCUUCUCAUUUCUUACCCAAGAAUGAGGGUGCAAUUCAGGCUGCAGCACAACAGCUAGAAAGAACAACGUCCAUGGUACAUCAACUCAACACAAGGGAUGAUAACCAUAAAGCGCAGCAGCCUGAAAGGCCAACGCCAGCAGUUCAACACCACUCCUUUGAUCACCUCUUCUCUACUCGUCCAGACCCUUGCUCUGUCAGUAGAGCCUCAUUACAGUCACAUUUAGGCUAUGCAGACGACAGGGCAGGUAUGAGUGAUAUUGCGAGGUACUUGGUACGUCGAGAGCUGGUGAAUUCUGGCCUGUUCAAGUUUAAUGAUCGUCCAGAAAAUUACUGGGCGUGGAAAUCUUCAUUCUGCAACGCUAUUGGAGGACUGAACUUAAGUGCUAGCGAAGAGCUUGACCUCUUAACAAAAUGGUUAGGAAAUCAGUCUUCAGAACACGUCAUACGGAUUCGUUCUGUACAUGUUGCCAGGCCUGAUAUAGGUUUAAGAAUGGCUUGGGAUCGCCUAGAGGAGUGCUAUGGCUCCCCCGAGGUAAUUGAAAGAGCUCUCUUUGAGAGGAUAGAGAACUUUCCUAAAAUCAGUCAUAAGGACCCCAUAAAGCUCAGGGAGCUGGGAGACCUGCUAAGGGAGUUAGUGUCUGCAAAAUCUGAGGGUUACCUUCCAGGGCUCUCAUACUUGGACACCGCAAGGGGUGUCAACCCUAUCGUAGAGAAGUUGCCAAUUGGUCUGCAAGAGAGGUGGUUAGCUCAAGGCUCACAAUACAAGGAGCAACACAAUGUAUGUUUUCCUCCAUUUGCAUACUUUACAGAGUUCAUAUGCAGUGAAGCACGCCGAAGAAACGACCCAAGUUUCACUCUCUUGACAGCCCCUGUAACCCCGUUGAAUAAUUCCCACAGGUAUACUACAGGACCAUCAAAGUUUGAUCGAGUGGAAAAGAGAUCAGCAUAUGGCAAAGGCUAUGUUUCUGCUCACAAGACUGGAAUCGCGUCACUACAAACAGCUUCUCAGGCGGAUAGUUCAAGCAGCAGGCGAGGAGAAAUAGACAAACAAUGCCCGAUCCACAAGAAGCCACAUCCUCUGAAAAAGUGUAGAGGUUUUCGAAGUAAGUCACUAGAGGAACGCAAAGCUUUUCUUAAAGAAAAUGGGAUCUGUUUCAGAUGUUGCUCUUCUACUAUUCACCAGGCUAAGAACUGUGAAGUAGCUUUGAAGUGCACAGAAUGUGAGAGCGACAGCCAUAUUGCAGCACUACAUCCUGGACCCCCACCAUGGGACAGGAAAAGUCCCCCCUCAGAGCAUGGCGGGGAGGGUGAAAGAGAAACACUUCAGAUGGCAGUCACCUCUAGGUGCACGGAGGUCUGUGAUAACAGUAAGGAACCUAGAUCCUGUUCCAAGAUUUGCCUAGUGAAAGUUUAUCCUAAAGCACACCCUGACAAAGCUGUGAAAAUGUAUGUCAUUCUGGAUGAUCAGAGCAACAGGUCCUUGGCCAGGUCUGAAUUCUUUGACCUCUUUCAAAUUGAAGGGUCAAACUCACCAUACAUUCUGCGCACAUGUUCAGGGGUCACCGAAGCGUUUGGGAGAAGAGCCACAGGGUUCAUGGUGGAGUCACUGGAUGAAACAACAAGUGUGAUGCUUCCUACACUCAUUGAAUGCAAUCAUGUGCCGAAUGACCGCACAGAGAUUCCAACUCCAGCAGCUGCACAGCACCACACACACCUGAAGUCCAUAGCUCACAAGAUACCACACCUAGAUCAAGAGGCCCAGAUACUCCUUCUUCUGGGACGCGACAUCCUCCAGGUUCACAAAGUCAGAGAACAACGCAAUGGGCCACCUAGAGCACCCUACGCUCAAAGACUAGACCUUGGCUGGGUUGUUAUAGGUAACGUCUGCUUGGGCUCAGCCCAAAAGACAGAUUCUGUAAAUUCUUUUCGGACUAACGUGCUCGAAAAUGGACGUCCAUCUCUCCUUACUCCAUGUCCCAAUCAUAUUCAAGUCAAGGAGAGGUUUGGCAAUGAAGGACUACACUGCACAUCUCUUCACGGCCUUACAAACCACACCCCAGUCCUCCAUGACUGCAGCCUCGGCAGCACGAUUUUUGAGAGAACCAAGGAUGAUGACAAAGUGGGUCUCUCCAUCGAAGAUGAUCUUUUCCUGGAGCUUAUGGAUAAAGAAAUGUUUAUAGAUGAGUCUAAUAGCUGGGUGGCGCCUCUUCCAUUUCGAUCACCACGGCGACAGCUGCCAAACAAUCGAGAACAAGCUCUUAGUCGCCUUGCCUCUUUGUGCCACACAUUUAAAAGAAAGCCUGAGAUGAAAACUCACUUUGUGAACUUCAUGCAAAAGAUCUUCGAUCACGACCAGGCAGAGUUAGCUCCACCGCUGCAAGAGGGAAAGGAACGAUGGUACUUACCCAUCUUCGGUGUCUAUCACCCUCAGAAGCCGAACCAGAUUAGAGUCGUGUUUGAUUCCAGUGCUCAGCAUCAUGGGAUUUCUCUCAACGAUGUGUUACUUAAAGGCCCAGAUCUGAACAACAGCUUACUUGGAGUCUUACUACGCUUCCGCAGAGAGUCAAUAGCAGUGGUAGCAGACAUUGAGCAGAUGUUUUACAGUUUCACUGUCAGAGAAGACCAUCGAGACUUCCUUAGGUUCCUUUGGUUCAAGGACAACGAACCAGGAAAGGAGAUUGUUGAGUACAGGAUGAAAGUCCAUGUGUUCGGCAAUAGCCCGUCGCCAGCAGUAGCUAUCUAUGGUCUUCGUCGCGCGGCACAAUAUGGAGCAAGUGAGUAUGGCUCAGAGGCACAACACUUUGUGGAGCGCGACUUCUACGUCGACGAUGGCCUCAAGUCUCUACCAUCAGCUUCUAAAGCCAUAGAUCUGCUGAAAAAGGCACAAGAGAUGCUUGCAGAAUCAAACUUACGCCUCCAUAAGAUAGCGUCAAACCACUCUGGCGUUUUGGAUGCCUUUCCACUAGAAGACCACGCAAAGGGUUUGCAGAACCUGGACUUCAACGACAAUUCAUCCCUCAUUCAACGCAGCUUAGGGCUCAGCUGGGAUCUUAAACAUGAUGUUUUCACCUUCAGAGUAGCAUCUACCGAGAAGCCUUUUACCCGUAGAGGUGUUCUAGCCACCGUGAACAGUUUGUUUGAUCCUCUCGGAUUUGUGGCGCCAAUCAUUAUACAAGGGAAGUUCCUGUUACGAGAGUUUACUAGCAUUGAAGCCCUCGACUGGGAUACGCCUCUUCCACAUGAGAAGGAAACUGAAUGGAGAAUGUGGAAAGACUCCUUGCAAGACUUGAGUGAGCUCAAGAUUCCAAGAGCCUACACACCUACUACCCUUACCACCACCCAAAAGAAAGAGCUCCACAUCUUCUCAGAUGCCUCGGUGAAGGCCAUUGCCGCUGUAGCUUACCUUAAGGUGAUCAGCGAUGAUGGAGAGUGUUACGUGGGAUUUGUUUUGGGAAAGGCAAAACUGGUGCCCUUAUCUGCUCACACUAUCCCAAGGUUGGAACUGGGAGCAGCUGUGUUGGCAGUAGAAAUGGCAGAGUUGAUAGAGAGUGAGUUGGACAUCAGUGUAGACACAUUGCAGUUUUAUACAGACAGCAAGGUCGUCUUGGGGUACAUAUACAAUCAGACCAGGCGGUUUUAUGUGUACGUUUCCAACAGAAUCCAGCGAAUCAGGAAGUCCACCAAACCUGAGCAGUGGCACUACGUCUGCACCACACAGAAUCCAGCAGAUCAUGCUACACGUUCUGUACCUGCGGCUGAAUUAGCAAGCACAACCUGGCUCACAGGGCCUUCAUUUUUGUCCCUUCCUGAAGGAGAAGCCAUUUCAGGAGAGGAGUCAUAUGAGCUCAUUGAUCCAGAUGCAGACGUUGAUGUGCGUUCUCAUGCCACCACUCUCUCUACUCCAUCAUGUAGUCUGGGAUCUCAUCGUUUUGAACGGUUCUCAUCUUGGAAGUCUCUGGUACGAGCCACAGCAUUCCUGACACACAUCAUUCAGUCUCAAAGAAAUGAAGUAAAAACCAAGAAUGGCAGCUGUAGUGGUUGGCAUCUGUGCAGAAAACCUCACACGGCAGAAGAACUGUCUAAGGCAGAAACUCUUAUUGUCAAGUGUGUGCAAAGGGAAACUUACAGCAAAGAGUUCUCCUGCUUGGUUGCUGGGAAAGAUAUCUCAAAAGAUAGUUCACUGAGAAAGCUUAACCCCUAUGUGGACGAAGAGGGUCUUCUGAGAAUAGGAGGCAGGCUCAACCAUGCGUUACUCGACACUAAAGAAAAGUUCCCUCUCAUCAUUCCAGGCCGCAGCCACAUUGCAACAUUGCUUGUGCGCCAUUACCAUGACAAGGUUAAGCACCAAGGUCGUGUUUUUACAGAAGGCUCUAUCCGCGAAGCUGGAUUUUGGAUCAUUGGAGCUAAGAAAUGUAUCAGCAGUAUCCUUCACAAAUGUGUGACAUGUAACAAACUUCGGGGGAAAAGCGCUGAACAAAAGAUGGCAGACCUACCUUCAGAUCGUCUGAGUACAGAGCCCCCUUUCACCUACGUGGGUCUUGACGUUUUUGGCCCUUGGGCUGUCACCACAAGACGAACCCGCGGUAGUCAGGCUAACAGCAAAAGGUGGGCUGUACUUUUCACCUGCAUGAGCACACGGGCCGUGCACAUAGAGCUGAUAGAGGCGAUGGACACAUCAAGCUUUAUCAAUGCAUUGCGCCGAUUCUUUGCUUUGCGGGGACCUGCCAAGCAAAUCCGUUCAGACUGUGGAACCAACUUUACAGGUGCCUGCAAGGAGCUGCACAUACUCCUUACCGAUCCCAAAGAGCCCAAUGUGAGGAGGUACUUGGGUGAAGAGGGUUGCUCUUGGGUGUUUAACUCUCCGCAUUCCUCCCACAUGGGAGGAGCUUGGGAGCGAAUGAUUGGUUUCGCCAGACGGAUACUCAACUCCAUGCUUAUGCAAACCAACCCUUCAUGCCUCACUCAUGAGGUGUUGUCUACUUUAAUGGCAGAGAUCACAGCAAUUAUUAAUGCUAGGCCACUUGCACCUAUUUCUUCAGACCCGGAGUCACCCUUUCUUCUUACUCCUGCUACACUUCUGACUCAGAAGAUGUCUACUUACCCUCCUCCUCCGGGAACCUUUGACAGCACAGAUCUUCAUCGCCAGCAGUGGAGACGGGUGCAGCAUCUGGCCAACACAUUUUGGAGCAGAUGGAGACGUGAGUACCUUCCUACGCUGCAAAGCCGAAGCAAGUGGCAGGAUGUACGACCAAACAUUGAGAAAGGUGACCUGGUUCUGCUUAAGGAUAACCAGGAGAAAAGGAAUGAAUGGCCCAUGGCUCUGGUUACAAGGACAUUCCCUGACGAAGAUGGGAAGGUCAGGAAGAUUGAACUCAAGGUCACAAGAUCUGGGUCAGCAAGGACCUUCUUGAGACCUGUUUCUGAGACGAUCCUUCUCAAGAGUGCUGAGGAAUUAAACUGAUUUAGUUUUCCCUUUUUUAUUCAGACUUAAUAAGGUUAUUCAGAGAGUGGUAUUUAAUUAAUACCAGGCGGGGAGUGUCAUGUUCUGUAAGAAUACUUUGCAUUUAGUUUGUUUCUUUCUCCCCCUAGUGGUCAUCUAGGAGUAAUUCAUUGUGUUCAUAUAUAAUUCUUACAUUGCUUUCAUUGGUUGAUUUUAUCACAUGAUGCAGUCAGAUCAGGAAAUACAUCAGUAGUUAUAUUCCAUGCGGUCCACUUGCAGCUCUAGUAAUCUAAUCCUGUCUUCAUUUUGUGUUUGUGCCUUGAGAAAGCAUCGCUUUUUUACAAAGAUUCCUUCAUGAGAAUUAAGACAACAGUAAAGAGCCUUGAACUUUACUCCAGCCUCUGACUUUCUCUUGAAGCCUGUUAGCUAUCUGUCGAUUUGUGUACAGUCACACACACUGAGGACAGA
RNA transcript from Carassius gibelio (silver crucian carp), 7303 nucleotides. RefSeq lists it as uncharacterized. NCBI's taxonomy places the organism in Eukaryota, Metazoa, Chordata, Actinopteri, Cypriniformes, Cyprinidae. The transcript has 2 exons. The record is from RefSeq and is a predicted model, not a curated record.